GGAGAAAUGGCUGAGUGGACUAAAGCGUCGGAUUGCUAAUCCGUUGUGUGAGUAUUCGUACCGAGGGUUCGAAUCCCUUCUUUA
Molecule: transfer RNA, 84 nt
Filed under: Corchorus olitorius
Lineage: Eukaryota; Viridiplantae; Streptophyta; Magnoliopsida; Malvales; Malvaceae
Rfam family: tRNA
About the family: Transfer RNA (tRNA) molecules are approximately 80 nucleotides in length. Their secondary structure includes four short double-helical elements and three loops (D, anti-codon, and T loops).
Source: Rfam by way of RNAcentral